This is a long non-coding RNA of Microcebus murinus (gray mouse lemur), 1014 nucleotides long. RefSeq lists it as uncharacterized. NCBI's taxonomy places the organism in Eukaryota, Metazoa, Chordata, Mammalia, Primates, Cheirogaleidae. The record is from RefSeq and is a predicted model, not a curated record.
UUGGUAGUUCAAGAAGGUGAACCCAAUGAGAUUGAUGUGAAUCUCAUCACAUCCCUGUGAAAAUAGGAUGCCUGCUCCAGGUGGUAAUUUUAGCCAAUAGAAUUUCAGUGUAUAAAUGGCUGGGCUCUGACGUCAUAGUAGAAGUCUCGUUUCCAGGCAACGUAGGCUGGGCUCUGACGUCAUAGUAGAAGACUCGUUUCCAGGCAACGUAGGCUGGGCUCUGACGUCAUAGUAGAAGACUUGUUUCCAGGCAACGUAGGAUUUCAACCGCUUCACAGCACGGGCAGUGCGGAGCACCCGGAGCCUGGCUGAGGGGGAUGGUCACUCCUAAGGGGUGGCUCUGAAGGGGAUUAAACACAGGGGACAUAUGGCACCAGGACUGCAAUGAGACUGAAAUGAUUGGUGGGUGGAGACAAUCUUGAAGAGGAACGAUCUGCAAAGCGAGCAGCUCUGCCAGCCGCGGACGUGAUGCGCCAGCUUUCUGGAACAUCACCCGGGAGACUGAGGGACGCCCGAGAGCUGCUUGGGGAUUACAGGAAAGCCGUCAGCCGGUGGUCCACCAGAGGACGUGGUUACAAGGAGCUAUGCCCUUGGUAUUGCACGCAGUACACCGCGACAGGCUCACAAGAUGCUGAAGGAAUGCCAAUGUGGAGUUACUGGCUACCGAUGGAGGCAUCAUGAGUUCUGAACACUCAAGAGGGGUCUAAGUCGGAGGAUCUGUAACCUCUGGUUUUCAGUGACAAUACGAUAGUCCCUUGAGUCUCCCCCACAUAAUCUAGGCCUCAGUGGAAACUGGCUUGGAUGUGGUUGUUUGCUCUUUCCUGCUCCCUAUAACUAUAACUCUAAAGACUCAACUAGAAAGAUCACUUCGUGAUGACUCUAUUCUCCAGUCCCCGGUAAAACCAUGGCACUUUCUAGAAGCUGCCCUGGGUUUCCCGCCAUUACUUUUCUGCUAAGAAUACCCAUUUCUUAGGCUCUUAUCAAUAGUAGCUACUAUGAACUGUAUGAAGCUUG